AGUGGGAUAGCUGGGUCAAAUGGUGGUUCCAUUCCCAGUUUUUCAAGGAAACUCCAUACUGUUUUCCAUAUUGGUUGCAACAUUUUGCAGUCCCACUAGCAAU
Molecule: microRNA precursor, 103 nt
Filed under: Marmota monax (woodchuck)
Lineage: Eukaryota; Metazoa; Chordata; Mammalia; Rodentia; Sciuridae
Source: RNAcentral